AGUGAACGCUGGCGGUAGGCCUAACACAUGCAAGUCGAACGGCAGCGCAGUAAGAGCUUGCUCUUACGGGUGGCGAGUGGCGGACGGGUGAGGAAUACAUCGGAAUCUACUUUUUCGUGGGGGAUAACGUAGGGAAACUUACGCUAAUACCGCAUACGACCUACGGGUGAAAGCAGUGGAUCUUCGGACCUUGCGCGAUUGAAUGAGCCGAUGUCGGAUUAGCUAGUUGGCGGGGUAAAGGCCCACCAAGGCGACGAUCCGUAGCUGGUCUGAGAGGAUGAUCAGCCACACUGGAACUGAGACACGGUCCAGACUCCUACGGGAGGCAGCAGUGGGGAAUAUUGGACAAUGGGCGCAAGCCUGAUCCAGCCAUACCGCGUGGGUGAAGAAGGCCUUCGGGUUGUAAAGCCCUUUUGUUGGGAAAGAAAAGCAGCAGGUUAAUACCCCGCUGUUCUGACGGUACCCAAAGAAUAAGCACCGGCUAACUUCGUG
This 492-nucleotide ribosomal RNA is filed under the name uncultured bacterium. RNAcentral describes it as "partial 16S ribosomal RNA". It matches the Rfam family "Bacterial small subunit ribosomal RNA", at positions 29 to 507 of the family's 1533-position model. The record is from RNAcentral.